UAGCCGUAAACGAUACUCGCUAGGUGUCGGCCACGGUGCGACCGUUGUCGGUGCCGUAGGGAAGCCGUGAAGCGAGCCACCUGGGAAGUACGGCCGCAAGGCUGAAACUUAAAGGAAUUGGCGGGGGAGCACCACAACGGGUGGAGCUUGCGGUUUAAUUGGAUUCAACGCCGGAAAUCUUACCGGGACCGACAGCAACAUGAAGGCCAGGCUGAAGACUUUGCCGGAUUAGCUGAGAGGAGGUGCAUGGCGUUGUGACUGU
This 262-nucleotide ribosomal RNA is filed under the name uncultured archaeon. RNAcentral describes it as "partial 16S ribosomal RNA". It matches the Rfam family "Archaeal small subunit ribosomal RNA", at positions 748 to 1010 of the family's 1478-position model. The record is from RNAcentral.